This 244-nucleotide ribosomal RNA is filed under the name Halobacillus karajensis. RNAcentral's name for it is "23S rRNA. Bacterial LSU". It matches the Rfam family "Bacterial large subunit ribosomal RNA", at positions 2683 to 2925 of the family's 2925-position model. The record is from RNAcentral. Lineage: Bacteria; Bacillati; Bacillota; Bacilli; Caryophanales; Bacillaceae.
ACGAGAGGACCGGGAUGGACACACCGCUGGUGUACCAGUUGUUCCGCCAGGAGCAUCGCUGGGUAGCUACGUGUGGUCGGGAUAAGUGCUGAAAGCAUCUAAGCAUGAAGCCCCCCUUGAGAUGAGAUUUCCCUUUGCUUUAAGCAAAUAAGAUCCCUCAGAGACGAUGAGGUUGAUAGGUCCGAGGUGGAAGCGUGGUGACACGUGGAGCUGACGGAUACUAAUGGAUCGAUGACUUAUCUAU